Molecule: non-coding RNA, 28 nt
Filed under: Mus musculus (house mouse)
Lineage: Eukaryota; Metazoa; Chordata; Mammalia; Rodentia; Muridae
Also listed under: 1 other name
Source: RNAcentral
CUGUAGGCUAUGUGAUGCAGGCAUUCUC